RNAcentral lists this ribosomal RNA (253 nucleotides) under uncultured bacterium. Its description in RNAcentral is "partial 16S ribosomal RNA". It matches the Rfam family "Bacterial small subunit ribosomal RNA", at positions 524 to 776 of the family's 1533-position model. The record is from RNAcentral.
UACGUAGGGUGCGAGCGUUACUCGGAAUUACUGGGCGUAAAGCGUGCGCAGGCGGUUCGUUAAGUCAGAUGUGAAAGCCCCGGGCUCAACCUGGGAACUGCAUUUGAAACUGGCGGGCUUGAGUGUGGCAGAGGGGGGUGGAAUUCCGCGUGUAGCAGUGAAAUGCGUAGAGAUGUGGAGGAACACCGAUGGCGAAGGCAGCCCCCUGGGUCGACACUGACGCUCAUGCACGAAAGCGUGGGGAGCAAACAGG